GACGAACGCUGGCGGCGUGCUUAACACUUGCAAGUCGAGCGGAAAGGCCCUUUCGGGGGUACUCGAGCGGCGAACGGGUGAGUGACACGUGAGUAAUCUGCCCUCCACUCUGGGAUAACGUUCAGAAAUGGGUGCUAAUACCGGAUGUACACAGGCUGACGCAUGUUGGUGUGUGGAAAGGUUUUCUGGUGGGGGAUGUG
This 200-nucleotide ribosomal RNA is filed under the name uncultured bacterium. Its description in RNAcentral is "partial 16S ribosomal RNA". It matches the Rfam family "Bacterial small subunit ribosomal RNA", at positions 28 to 229 of the family's 1533-position model. The record is from RNAcentral.